AAAACAGGUUAAUUCAUCAUAUAUAUUUAAAGUAUGUUCACUUUCUUAAAGUCACUGUCUUUGUUGUCGACCAUUAAACUCUUUUUUUUUUUUUUUUCUCUCCAAUAACGUCACCGCCUCUGUUUCUGGGCCUUUCUGCUGUCCGUGUGGGGAGAUAUUUUUUGGAAACGGAACAAAAUUGAACUGUGAAGUGAACACCUGGGAUUAUCAGAUGGACUAUACAAUUUUGUUUUGGUUGUGUGUAGCUUUGAGUGUAAGUCUGAUUCCUAUGGCUGUCCUCAUUUGCUGCAUGAAGACCUGUGAUUGUUGCAAUGGCCCUGUAACUGAACAGCAAAAUCAGCAUCUGUUUAAUUUGCAGCCUGCAGUUCAGCCAAAUAUAGUCACUUCUUGAUUGUGCCAAGGAGUGAAGAAUUUUCAUUUCAAAAUCUGAUAAUUCUGUUUUAAUAAUUUCUGCCUCUAAUAAAC
This is a long non-coding RNA of Amphiprion ocellaris (clown anemonefish), 465 nucleotides long. The record is from Ensembl. NCBI's taxonomy places the organism in Eukaryota, Metazoa, Chordata, Actinopteri, Pomacentridae.